UGUUGUCUUGCUGUGAUGACUCGCUAAAAGCAUAGUUCAUUUGAAAAUGGAUUUACUACCCAUUGCUGUUGCCCAAUUCUUUCGCUCCUAUCUGACCAAAGACACAC
Molecule: small nucleolar RNA, 107 nt
Filed under: Lichtheimia corymbifera JMRC:FSU:9682
Lineage: Eukaryota; Fungi; Mucoromycota; Mucoromycetes; Mucorales; Lichtheimiaceae
Description: Small nucleolar RNA snR60/Z15/Z230/Z193/J17
Rfam family: Small nucleolar RNA snR60/Z15/Z230/Z193/J17
About the family: The members of this family belong to the C/D class of snoRNAs which contain the C (UGAUGA) and D (CUGA) box motifs. Most of the members of the box C/D family function in directing site-specific 2'-O-methylation of substrate RNAs. The family includes the yeast snoRNA snR60 (also known as Z15) and the corresponding human guide snoRNA U80 (SNORD80).
Source: Rfam by way of RNAcentral